ACACAUGGUUUCUCUUCUUAACACUGUGCUCCCCUAAGAGAUGAAGUCUUUCUGGUUCCUAUUUCUCCUAUUCCACAGUUGAGGGCUUUUAUGCCUGGAAAUCCAGUGUGUGAAAGAAAUGGAAGCAAUGCAACACAUUUGAUUUUUAAAUGCUACGACAGGAGACAGUCCUCUGGCACUUGGAAAGUAAAUGUGGAAGUUCAAGAAGAGAAGAAAAGCUUUGAGAAACUGUGUGUUCCUUUCCAAGGCAUAUAAUUUUGUCACAUGGGCACUGUCCACUAAACCAGCCUGAACAGACGCAUCCUCUAUGCUGCUGCUGCUGCUGCUAAGUCACUUCAGUCGUGUCCGACUCUGUGAGACCCCAUGGACAGCAGCCCGCCAGUCUCCCCGGUCUCUGGGAUUCUCC
Long non-coding RNA from Bos taurus (domestic cattle), 406 nucleotides. Lineage: Eukaryota; Metazoa; Chordata; Mammalia; Artiodactyla; Bovidae. The record is from Ensembl.